AAAGUCUAAAGUAUAAGACCCGAAGCUGAGUGAUCUAACCAUGAGCAGGCUGAAAUAUACGUGGUAACACUAUUUGGAGGGCCGAACCCGUGUUUGUUGAAAAAAACUGGGAUGACUUGUGGUUAGGGGUGAAAGGCCAAUCAAACUCAGGUAUAGCUGGUUUUCUGCGAAAUAUAUUUUAGUAUAGCGUACAAAUUUUUUAAACGGGGUAAAUCUCUUUUGAAAUGCGGGGGGUCUAAUAGCUUUACUUAAUUUCGAAAAAAUAAGAAUACGUUUAUUAAACUUUUGUGCAGUCAGACUAUGGGCGCUAAGGUUCAUAGUCAAAAGGGAAACAGCCCAGAUUAUUUGAUAAAGGCUUAAAUUUUUUGUUAAGUGAUAAGACUGUGAAAGAAUGUUGACAGUUUUAAAGUAGGCUUGGAAGCAGCCAUCUUUUAAAGAAAGCGUAAUAGCUCAUUAACUAAAUUUUUUUGCGUCGAAAAUUUAUAGAGACUUAAAAAAAAACCUGAAUCAGUAAAAAAUGGUAGCAGAACGUUCUGUAUACUUGUGACGUUUAUUCGUAAGAAUAAAUUGAGGUAUCAGGAGUGAAAAUACUGGCAUGAGUAGCUAAAAACAAUGUUUAAUCAUUGUCACCGUAAGUCUAAGGUUUCCGAUACAACGUUUAAGGUUAUCGGAAUAAGCGAUCUCUAAAGCAAUUUACUAA
This 700-nucleotide ribosomal RNA is filed under the name uncultured Mallomonas. Its description in RNAcentral is "partial Bacterial large subunit ribosomal RNA". It matches the Rfam family "Bacterial large subunit ribosomal RNA", at positions 696 to 1407 of the family's 2925-position model. The record is from RNAcentral. Lineage: Eukaryota; Synurophyceae; Synurales; Mallomonadaceae.